GCUUGCUUUGGUAGAGCAUAUACUAAAAUUGGAAUGAUACAGAGAAGAUUAGCAUGGCCCCUGUAAAAGGAUGACUCAUAAAUUCAUGAAACAUUCAUAUUUUUA
Small nuclear RNA from Dromiciops gliroides (monito del monte), 105 nucleotides. The record is from RefSeq and is a predicted model, not a curated record. NCBI's taxonomy places the organism in Eukaryota, Metazoa, Chordata, Mammalia, Microbiotheria, Microbiotheriidae.